This 1446-nucleotide ribosomal RNA is filed under the name Agromyces terreus. RNAcentral describes it as "16S ribosomal RNA". It matches the Rfam family "Bacterial small subunit ribosomal RNA". Lineage: Bacteria; Bacillati; Actinomycetota; Actinomycetes; Micrococcales; Microbacteriaceae. The record is from RNAcentral.
GACGAACGCUGGCGGCGUGCUUAACACAUGCAAGUCGAACGAUGAACCCGGAGCUUGCUCUGGGGGAUUAGUGGCGAACGGGUGAGUAACACGUGAGUAACCUGCCCUGGACUCUGGGAUAAGCGUUGGAAACGACGUCUAAUACCGGAUAGGACCUCGAACCGCAUGGUUUGGGGUGGAAAGUUUUUCGGUCUGGGAUGGACUCGCGGCCUAUCAGCUUGUUGGUGAGGUAAUGGCUCACCAAGGCGUCGACGGGUAGCCGGCCUGAGAGGGUGACCGGCCACACUGGGACUGAGACACGGCCCAGACUCCUACGGGAGGCAGCAGUGGGGAAUAUUGCACAAUGGGCGCAAGCCUGAUGCAGCAACGCCGCGUGCGGGAUGACGGCCUUCGGGUUGUAAACCGCUUUUAGUAGGGAAGAAGGGCUUCGGCUUGACGGUACCUGCAGAAAAAGGACCGGCUAACUACGUGCCAGCAGCCGCGGUAAUACGUAGGGUCCGAGCGUUGUCCGGAAUUAUUGGGCGUAAAGAGCUCGUAGGCGGUUUGUCGCGUCUGCUGUGAAAUCUGGAGGCUCAACCUCCAGCCUGCAGUGGGUACGGGCAGACUAGAGUGCGGUAGGGGAGAAUGGAAUUCCUGGUGUAGCGGUGGAAUGCGCAGAUAUCAGGAGGAACACCGAUGGCGAAGGCAGUUCUCUGGGCCGUAACUGACGCUGAGGAGCGAAAGCGUGGGGAGCGAACAGGAUUAGAUACCCUGGUAGUCCACGCCGUAAACGUUGGGCGCUAGAUGUGGGGACCUUUCCACGGUUUCCGUGUCGUAGCUAACGCAUUAAGCGCCCCGCCUGGGGAGUACGGCCGCAAGGCUAAAACUCAAAGGAAUUGACGGGGGCCCGCACAAGCGGCGGAGCAUGCGGAUUAAUUCGAUGCAACGCGAAGAACCUUACCAAGGCUUGACAUGACCGAGAACGCCGCAGAAAUGUGGAACUCUUUGGACACUCGGUUACAGGUGGUGCAUGGUUGUCGUCAGCUCGUGUCGUGAGAUGUUGGGUUAAGUCCCGCAACGAGCGCAACCCUCGUCGCAUGUUGCCAGCACGUAAUGGUGGGAACUCAUGUGAGACUGCCGGGGUCAACUCGGAGGAAGGUGGGGAUGACGUCAAAUCAUCAUGCCCCUUAUGUCUUGGGCUUCACGCAUGCUACAAUGGCCGGUACAAAGGGCUGCGAUGUCGUAAGGCGGAGCGAAUCCCAAAAAGCCGGUCUCAGUUCGGAUUGAGGUCUGCAACUCGACCUCAUGAAGUCGGAGUCGCUAGUAAUCGCAGAUCAGCAACGCUGCGGUGAAUACGUUCCCGGGCCUUGUACACACCGCCCGUCAAGUCAUGAAAGUCGGUAACACCCGAAGCCGGUGGCCUAACCCUUGUGGAGGGAGCCGUCGAAGGUGGGAUCGGUGAUUAGG